RNAcentral lists this unclassified non-coding RNA (212 nucleotides) under Hevea brasiliensis (rubber tree). The record is from RNAcentral. Lineage: Eukaryota; Viridiplantae; Streptophyta; Magnoliopsida; Malpighiales; Euphorbiaceae.
GCCGGAAGGACGAAGAAGCUUUAUCAGUCGGAAAUCGGGAUCCGGUAAAGAAGCAACGCCGAAGUUCGACGGCGAUGGAUAGAGAGUGGGGGUCGAAGCCGGGAAGUGGAGGAGCGGCCUCGGCACAAAAUGAAGCUAUCGAUCGCAGAGAGCGUCUUCGACGGCUGGCUCUCGAGACCAUCGAUCUCGCCAAGGAUCCCUAUUUUAUGCGG